This 63-nucleotide transfer RNA is filed under the name Oxypoda praecox. RNAcentral describes it as "tRNA-Leu". Lineage: Eukaryota; Metazoa; Arthropoda; Insecta; Coleoptera; Staphylinidae. The record is from RNAcentral.
AUUAUUUUGGCAGAUUAGUGCAUUAAAUUUAGAAUUUAAUUAUGUAGUAAAAUUACAAAUAAU